CAUCAGGAGAGCUUGCAAGACCUCUUUCAUGAAAGAUUCAUUUUCCCCCUGUAGGAUCAUACUCAGCUUUGCUGAGUAAGUUACUCUUGAUUGUAAGCCUGCAUCCCUUGCCUUCAGUAAUAUCAUGUUUCAACCUUUCUGUUCCUUCAUAGUAGUUGUGCUAAAUCAUAUCUUUUCUUGACUGGGACUUUGCGGUACUUGAAUUAAUUUUUUUCUGUUUUGUUUUGUUUUGUCUGCCUGCAGCACUUUUUCUUUGACCCGGAAGCUCUGGAUUUGGGCUCUUUUCUUUGUGAAAUUUCUCCAAGGAACUGACUGAGAGAUUAUUUCUAUUUCUACUUUGCCUUUGGGUUCUAAGAGAUCUGAGCAGUUUUAAGAUUUCUUGAGAUAUGAUGUGUAGGCUCUUUUUUUUUUUUUGGUAAUGGCAUUCAAAUAGUUCAGUAAUUCUUAAAUUAUAUCUCUUCCAUCUGUUUCCCAGGUCAGGUUUUUUUUAUAUGAAAUGUCUUAAAUUUUCUUUUUUUCUAGUUUUCUGACUUUAAUAUCUUUUAUUGUAUCAUGGAAUGAUUAACUUCCACUUGAUCCAUUCUGAUUUUUAGGAUGCUUGCUGCUUGGGUCAAGUUCCUGCCUUCUGGGGCUGAGCAGAGUCAGGCUAAUCUCUUCCCUGCCGCAUGUGACAAAGCCGCCCAAGCAGUGGGAGACAGCCAUCAUCCUCCCCUUCCCCGUCCCCACCUCCCAAUCUUCCCUUCACUCAGCUUCUUAUGGCCUUUCCCCAUUGAAUUGAAUUGAAGUGAGUUGACUAAGGGUCCCAAGGCUGGAGUCCAGGCCCCAGGGAUCAGGGCCAGUGAUCUUGACCCAGCCCCAGGGAUCAGGGCCAGUGAUCUUGACCCAGCCCCAGGGAUCAGGGCCAGUGAUCUUGACCCACUUGUCUCUCCUCAGUUUCGAAAAAACGUCCAGGAUGUGCUGGCCGACAUGCCCAACCCUGACGACUAUUUCCUCCUUCGCUGGCUCCGAGCUCGAAGUUUUGACCUGCAGAAAUCUGAGGCCAUGCUCCGGAAGGUGAGCCCCCAGCCCUUUACUCUCUUGGACCCCAGGCCAGAGCAAGCAGAUCCUUGGCCUUCUCACCUCUUGCCGAGUUUUUCCCUUUCCUCCAUCUCUCCUUCCUUUCCAGCUUCAGCCAAUACUCCUGUCCCACUAGUGGCCUUCCAAAGGCUCAGAAUCUUUCUUCCUGCUCCCAGCUCUCCUCUUAGGGUGGGAUGAGGCCCAAGUAAGGGUGCCCAGGUAGGGGGUGCCCAGUGAGGGAGUGUCCAGUUAGAAGAUGCUCAGGAUGGUUCUUAG
Molecule: long non-coding RNA, 1332 nt
Filed under: Phascolarctos cinereus (koala)
Lineage: Eukaryota; Metazoa; Chordata; Mammalia; Diprotodontia; Phascolarctidae
Description: lncRNA (ENSPCIG00000037063.1)
Source: RNAcentral